Molecule: ribosomal RNA, 495 nt
Filed under: uncultured bacterium
Lineage: Bacteria
Description: partial 16S ribosomal RNA
Rfam family: Bacterial small subunit ribosomal RNA
Source: RNAcentral
GACGAACGCUGGCGGCGUGCCUAAUACAUGCAAGUAGAACGCUGAAGGAGGAGCUUGCUUCUCCGGAUGAGUUGCGAACGGGUGAGUAACGCGUAGGUAACCUGCCUGGUAGCGGGGGAUGACUAUUGGAAACGAUAGCUAAUACCGCAUAACAGUAGAUGUUGCAUGACAUUUGCUUAAAAGGUGCACUUGCAUCACUACCAGAUGGACCUGCGUUGUAUUAGCUAGUUGGUGAGGUAACGGCUCACCAAGGCGACGAUACAUAGCCGACCUGAGAGGGUGAUCGGCCACACUGGGACUGAGACACGGCCCAGACUCCUACGGGAGGCAGCAGUAGGGAAUCUUCGGCAAUGGACGGAAGUCUGACCGAGCAACGCCGCGUGAGUGAAGAAGGUUUUCGGAUCGUAAAGCUCUGUUGUAAGAGAAGAACGAGUGUGAGAGUGGAAAGUUCACACUGUGACGGUAUCUUACCAGAAAGGGACGGCUAACUACGUG